Non-coding RNA from Ramularia collo-cygni, 72 nucleotides. The record is from the annotation of a RefSeq genome assembly. Lineage: Eukaryota; Fungi; Ascomycota; Dothideomycetes; Mycosphaerellales; Mycosphaerellaceae.
GUCGGAAUGGCGUAGUGGCAUCGCAUCCCUCUCACACAGGGAAGGACGGGAGUUCGAUCCUCUCUUUCGACU